GGUCUCGUAAUGUACCGGUUAACACGCCUGCCUGUCACGCAGGAGAUCGCGGGUUCGAUUCCCGUCGAGACCGCCA
RNAcentral lists this transfer RNA (76 nucleotides) under Mesorhizobium sp. M8A.F.Ca.ET.173.01.1.1. RNAcentral describes it as "tRNA-Asp". It matches the Rfam family "tRNA". From Rfam's summary of the family: Transfer RNA (tRNA) molecules are approximately 80 nucleotides in length. Their secondary structure includes four short double-helical elements and three loops (D, anti-codon, and T loops). Lineage: Bacteria; Pseudomonadati; Pseudomonadota; Alphaproteobacteria; Hyphomicrobiales; Phyllobacteriaceae. The record is from RNAcentral.